GUACACUCCUGCGGGAGGCAGCAGUGGGGAAUUUUGGACAAUGGGCGAAAGCCUGAUCCAGCAAUGCCGCGUGAGUGAAGAAGGCCUUCGGGUUGUAAAGCUCUUUUGUCAGGGAAGAAACGGUGAAAGCUAAUAUCUUUUGCUAAUGACGGUACCUGAAGAAUAAGCACCGGCUAACUACGUGCCAGCAGCCGCGGUAAUACGUAGGGUGCAAGCGUUAAUCGGAAUUACUGGGCGUAAAGCGUGCGCAGGCGGUUUUGUAAGUCUGAUGUGAAAUCCCCGGGCUCAACCUGGGAAUUGCAUUGGAGACUGCAAGGCUAGAAUCUGGCAGAGGGGGGUAGAAUUCCACGUGUAGCAGUGAAAUGCGUAGAUAUGUGGAGGAACACCGAUGGCGAAGGCAGCCCCCUGGGUCAAGAUUGACGCUCAUGCACGAAAGCGUGGGGAGCAAACAGGAUUAGAAACCCCUGUAGUCCC
RNAcentral lists this ribosomal RNA (474 nucleotides) under uncultured organism. Its description in RNAcentral is "partial 16S ribosomal RNA". It matches the Rfam family "Bacterial small subunit ribosomal RNA", at positions 331 to 797 of the family's 1533-position model. The record is from RNAcentral.